RNAcentral lists this long non-coding RNA (5722 nucleotides) under Triticum aestivum (bread wheat). RNAcentral's name for it is "long non-coding RNA (TAES_LNC010365)". The record is from RNAcentral. Lineage: Eukaryota; Viridiplantae; Streptophyta; Magnoliopsida; Poales; Poaceae.
UAGAUCAUCCGGAGUGUGAGGCUUGCUACUACGAAUCUUUAGAGUUCAACGAUCGUCAGCAAGGCAAGUUCACACUUUGAUCAUAAUUUUCAAUACCCAGUUUUUACUAUGCAUUAGUUUCACCCUCAAAGAUUGCAUGAGUAGGAUUGGGAACAUGUGGUUAUGCUUUGUAGUUCAUGUGGUAGGAACCUAUGACUUUUGAUCACCCCGGGAAUAUUCGUUAUAUCAUAUACUGCUUAGCCAUGCUCAUAGACGGGGAUUGGUAUGUGUGAUUCAUGCAAGUUGCAAGAGAUAAUAAUUUUGGGACAACAUAAGGUGGCAACUUUAAUACACAUCUGGGUGGAUUGUUUGGGGCACCUGGAGAAACCAGUGCUUGCCCAAGGGGAAUCCCGGAGUACCCGUGUGAUUACCCUAGGUCGGCCACCCAGGCUCAAAGGGAUCAUAAGAUAUUUCAUGCCUACAAACUUCCGUGUGCAGCCACAAGCCAUUAUGGGCUCUGGCAUGGUUGAGUAAGUUGUGUGACCUCUUUCCGUGGUAGACUAGCUGAUGUAGGGGAAAGUAGGUGUACCGGUCUACCCAGGGUUAAGGGGAAACACUUCUGAAAGGCUAUGUCUCGAUCUUCCGAUCAUGGAGGCGGUUGAGUCUUGUGGGGAAAAGUGCGCAAACCUCUGCAGAGUGUACAAAAUAAUCAUGAUUAGCCGUGUCCCCGGUUACGGACAUCUUGAGUAUCUAGAAGUGAAUUAUUGGUUGAUCUCAUCACUCUUUUUAAUGAAAUUAUUGGGUUACUAAUAACUUGAGAAUUUUGGGAUUGAGUUGGAGGAACCUUCUCAAUAAUGGCAUUUUAAUUUAGUAGUAAAUAAAAAAUUAUUCCUUUGUUGUAGGGUAAAAUUGGCUUUAUGCAAAAAUAAAACUUAGAGCCUCCACCAGCUAAAUUUUCAUAUAGAGAUAGUCUUUUCAUUUAUUAUUAUUCUAUGGUGUGAAACUGCCAGCAUAUUCCAUGUGCCGACCUACACGGCUGCAACGUCUCAUGUUGCAAACUUUUUCGACGAGUAUUAAAGGUGCGAUAGGUCGUUGUUCUGCACUCAGUUUGCCAUGGAGUUGGAUGGACUCAUUUACCUUCAAUGCUUCCGUAGUUGUUUUUAUUGAGAUGGCCUUUGGCCAUAUUAUUGUAAUAAAUACUGUUUUGAGAACUUCAAUGUAAUAAAGUGUGAAUGAACUCUGUUAUAAUUCCUUGAGUAUUGUGUGUGUCAGCAUACCGAUCCAGGGAUGACACUUAAGCACAGAGACUUCGAUCCAUUUUGGGUCGGGUCGCUACAAUAUGGUAUCAGAGCACACGCUGACUGUAGGAUGCGACCACUAGGAAAUGGAAAGCCAUAGGAAGAAAACUCUAUUUUAUGACUUCCUUAAAUAUCCGUUGGUCUAUACUCUUCUCUAUUCAUUUCUAUCUCUUCUCUACUUCAAUAAAAUAGUUGUUGAACCCCAUCACCAAGUUGCUUAGCCCGAUGAGACCAUGACCUAUGAAGACAUCAUUGACGACGAAGAAGAAGAAGCUAGAGUUGACUUUGAUUUGAGAAGAUUUAGUUCAGACCACCACUACCAAGUUGAGUCCAACGUAUGAUUGCGGUAGUAUGAAGAGAUCAUAUCUCUUGUGGAUAUGACCUUACCUGUAGGUUUUUGCUUGUGUGGUGUGAUCUGUUUGAAUUGCUUGAUUUGAAAUUUUCUUGCUAUCAUAAGCAUAUGGGUAGUGAUUUCUCUCAUUAGGCCCUUAUUCUAUUCUAAUUUCUUAUCCACUCUAAACCUAACAGAUGCCUCCAAGACAUGACCCAGAAUUCCCACCGGAACUUACCCAGUUGAUCCAGAAACAGAAUGCCCUCAUGCAGCUACUCAUCCAGAAUCAGAACCAGAACAACAACAACCCACCGCCACCACCCCCGGUUGACAACCUUACCCGUUUCCUGAGGUUGAACCCACCAGUGUUCUCUAGCAGCACGGAGCCGAUUGUUGCAGAUGAAUGGCUUCGCAAGAUCGGAACAGAGCUGACCACCGCAGGAUGCACUGACACUGAGAAGGUGCGCUUUGCCGCGCAUCAACUGGAUGGACCAGCAGCUUCGUGGUGGGAGAAUUACACCACCACAUUACCCAUAGCCAAUGUGACUUGGGAUCAGUUCCAGCAGGCGUUCCGUACCACACAUGUUUCAGCCAGAGCUAUGAGUCUGAAGAAGAGUGAGUUCCGCAACUUACUUCAAGGAAAUCGUUCUAUUGGUGAUUAUGUGGAGGAAUUCAGCAAGUUAUCCAGGUAUGCUCCCAGAGACGUGGUUGAUGAUGCCGCUAAGCAGGAGAAAUUUCUGGAGGGACUAAACGAUGAUUUGGGACUUCAGUUGACCGUGGCUACCUUUAACAAUUAUCAAGAGUUGGUCGACAAGGCUCUCAUUCUGGAAGGCAAGCAGCAGCAGGUGGAUAAUCGCAAGAGGAAGUACGGACAGGGAAAGUACAACUCUAGAGUUCAGCAGAAGGAUUUCGUGAGGAUGAACAUGGAACCUUAUGGUUUGAGCAUCGUAUUUACGUGCCAAAUGACCCAGAGAUCAGGAAAUUGAUUCUUCAGGAGGCUCAUGAUUCGCCUUAUUCAAUACACCCGGGCAACACCAAGAUGUAUUUGGACUUGAAGGAAAGUUUCUGGUGGACAGGUAUGAAGAAGGAUAUUGCCGGGUAUGUCGCAGUAUAUGACGUAUGUCAGAGGGUUAAGGCAGAGCACCAAAAACCAGCAGGAUUACUUCAGCCUUUGCCGAUACCAGAUUGGAAGUGGGACAAGCUUGGCAUGGACUUCAUUACAGGAUUACCCAGGACCCGAUCAGGCUAUGAUUCUAUUUGGGUAGUGGUUGAUCGCUUGACUAAGGUAGCUCACUUCAUCCCCGUGAAAACCACAUAUACAAGUACUAAGUUGGCCAAGAUAUACAUGACCAGGAUCGUAUGUCUGCAUGGAGUUCCGAGGACCAUCGUAUCAGAUAGAGGAACACAAUUUUCCUCAAAGUUUUGGCAUCAGUUACAUGAAACUUUGGGUACCAGGCUGGAGUUCAGUACAGCUUUUCAUCCGCAGACAGAUGGGCAGACCGAGAGAGUCAAUCAGAUUCCGGAGGACAUGUUGAGAGCUUGUGCGCUGGAUUGUGGAUCUAGUUGGGAUGAUAAUUUGCCUUACGCAGAAUUCUCAUAUAACAACAGCUAUCAAGCUAGUUUGAAAAUGGCCCCUUUCGAAGCUUUGUACAGAAGGAGGUGCAGGACACCAUUGAUGUGGGAUGAAGUUGGAGACCGUAAAUUAUUCGAACCAGAUUUAAUUAGAGAUUCAGAGGAGAAAGUCAAGCUGAUCCGCGACAGACUCAAGGCAGCCCAAUCCAGAUAGAAGAGUUAUGCCGAUACUAAACGCAAGGAGGUAACCUAUGAAGUCGGAGAUAGAGCAUAUCUGCGUGUGUCGCCACUUCGAGGAGUUAAAUGAUUUGGAGUCAAAGGAAAGUUAGCACCACGGUUUGUGUGGUCGUACAGAGUUUUAGAGCGCAUGGGUGAAGUUGCCUACAAGUUGGAAUUACCAGAAGCCUUGUCAGGAGUUCAUGAUGUGUUUCACGUUUCCCAGUUGAAGAAGUGCCAUGCGGAGAUGGCCGAUAUUCCUUUGAGAGAUACAGUGCCACUGGAGGACAUACAGUUGGAUAGUGAUCUAACCUAUGAGGAGAAGCCCAUCAAGAUUCUCGAAACUGCAAGCAGGGUUACCCGCAGCAAGGUCAUCAAGUUUUGCAUGGUUCAGUGGAGUCAUCAUACUGAGGAAGAAGCCACCUGGGAACAAGAAGAAGACCUCCGACAGGACCACCCACACCUUUUUGCUAGCCAACCAGAAUCUCGAGGGCAAGAUUCAUCUUAAGGGGGGUAGGUUUGUAACAUCCCAAUUUUCAGUUUGGAUGUUUAUAAAUAGUUCAUUCAUAUGCAUCCAUGAUUUAUGCAUUUUUGCUGCCAUUUGUUUUAUUUGAUUUUUGAUCCAAGGAACUUUGAGAAACUCAAGGACGAAAAGAGAGAGUUGGAAGUUUCCCUAAAAAACCAAUUUUGAAUUUUUUUCGAAGUUGGGAGAUUGGAUCAAAUUUGGUUUCACCAAAAUACAUUUCCAUUAUAUCAAAAAUAAAAUAAAGAGAGAAGAUAAAAUGACUUCUUCAAAAAUAAAAAUAAAAUGUUGGAAAUUGAAUUUGGCACCAAAAUAUAUUUGUUGGGUUUUAUUUGCACUUUAUUUUAUUAGUUUAGCAAAAAUGUUUAUUUUUUUAACUUGCAUUUUAGGACAGAUAAAAGUUCACUAGGUCAUAUAUAAGACCAUAUAACUAUGUGAAUUUUCUGGGAUUUUUAGGCUAACUUUUAUUUGUAUUUUCGGUGUUUCUUUGCUUCUGUAAAAAAACGUUUUAAAAACGUGGGCAGCCAAGGCCCAAGGAAGGCCCAGCCUUCUUCACGACAGGAGGUCGUCUUCAACCUCUUGUACGAGAGCAGGAAGCACGUACGCAGCACUCCCACCCAACGCCCCACCCCUCCCCUCCUCUCCCUCGCUCCAAAACCACUCUGAAUCAGUUCCCCUCACCUCCCUCUAUCUUUUGCCCUUCACUAGUGUGCCUUAAUUCCUCCUCUAAUGGCCAUUAGAAGCCCAAGUAACAGUCACCAUUAACAUCAUAAAGUUGGCAACGCUCAGCUCAUCUCCAGACCUCCCCAAGCCCUAUAUAAAGCACCCCUGGGAGCCCCUCUCACCCCUCGUCCGAUGCCCUCUCCUUCUGGAGUUUUUCCCUCUCUCUAACCUCUCCAAUUGCUCGCCAGAGUUCGUGUAUUCUGGCGACCUCUCACCGCGUGUACAGGAAACAUUUACAACCACAAGUUGUUCAAGUGGUUCACCUCAUCAUCCUCUACACCGUCCAGCACGCAUCCUUCACCGAAGCACCCCGGAUCCACCAUCUUCCUCAUCUCCGGCAACUAGUCCGGUGAGCACCCAGCCAACCAAUCAGAAAGUGCCACUUGCCAUCUGGCCGAAUUUAUUUCUCUUUUUCCAGUAUUUUUCCAAUCUCAGAUUCUAUAUCAAUUCUUGGUUCUAGUAUAUCUUUUAGUCUAUAGAUCCGAUUUAGUUGAUUCUUUUUCCUACCGCUUCAUAAAAAUAUCCUCUAUCCAGAGAACCAAACGAAAAAUAUUUUUGAAAAUUUUAAAAUUUGAAUUCAAACAGAUCUGAAUUCAAACUUCGUUAGGCCAUAACUCGAGUUUCGUAACUCCGUUUUAGGUGAUUCUUUUUGCAAAUCGAAGCUCGUGACGUAUACUUUCUGUUAAACCCAAACACACAUACUUUUGCUACUAUAAAAAUUACGUUCUGUUCAGAAACUUUAUUUGGUUGUUUUUGAAGUUUUCCGAAGUCCUCUCUUUGUUUUCUUUUUGAUUCUUCGCUUGUAUGCUUAUGUAUGUUAUUGCUUGCUUACGCUAGAUCAUCCGGAGUGUGAGGCUUGCUACUACGAAUCUUUAGAGUUCAACGAUCGUCAGCAAGGCAAGUUCACACUUUGAUCAUAAUUUUCAAUACCCAGUUUUUACUAUGCAUUAGUUUCACCCUCAAAGAUUGCAUGAGUAGGAUUGGGAACAUGUGGUUAUGCUUUGUAGUUCAUGUGGUAGGAACCUAUGACUUUUGAUCACCCCGGGAAUAUUCGUUAUAUCAUAUAUUGCUUAGCCAUGC